RNAcentral lists this ribosomal RNA (870 nucleotides) under uncultured bacterium. Its description in RNAcentral is "bacterial SSU rRNA". It matches the Rfam family "Bacterial small subunit ribosomal RNA", at positions 42 to 897 of the family's 1533-position model. The record is from RNAcentral.
GCAUGCCUAACACAUGCAAGUCGAACGGCAGCACAGCAGUAGCAAUACUGUGGGUGGCGAGUGGCGGACGGGUGAGUAAUGCAUCGGGACCUACCUGAACGUGGGGGAUAACGUAGGGAAACUUACGCUAAUACCGCAUACGUCCUACGGGAGAAAGCGGGGGACCUUCGGGCCUCGCGCGGUCAGACGGACCGAUGUUCGAUUAGCUAGUUGGUAAGGUAACGGCUUACCAAGGCGACGAUCGAUAGCUGGUCUGAGAGGAUGAUCAGCCACACUGGAACUGAGACACGGUCCAGACUCCUACGGGAGGCAGCAGUGGGGAAUAUUGGACAAUGGGCGCAAGCCUGAUCCAGCAAUGCCGCGUGUGUGAAGAAGGCCUUCGGGUUGUAAAGCACUUUUAUCAGGAGCGAAAUACUACCGGUUAAUAACCGGUGGGGCUGACGGUACCUGAGGAAUAAGCACCGGCUAACUUCGUGCCAGCAGCCGCGGUAAUACGAAGGGUGCAAGCGUUAAUCGGAAUUACUGGGCGUAAAGGGUGCGUAGGCGGUUUGUUAAGUCUGUCGUGAAAUCCCCGGGCUCAACCUGGGAAUGGCGAUGGAUACUGGCAAGCUAGAGUGUGUCAGAGGAUGGUGGAAUUUCCGGUGUAGCGGUGAAAUGCGUAGAGAUCGGAAGGAACAUCAGUGGCGAAGGCGGCCAUCUGGGACAACACUGACGCUGAAGCACGAAAGCGUGGGGAGCAGACAGGAUUAGAUACCCCUGGUAGUCCACGCCCUAAACGAUGCGAACUGGAUGUUGGUCUCAACUCGGAGAUCAGUGUCGAAGCUAACGCCGUUAAGUUCGCCGCCUGGGGGAGUACGGUCGCAAGACUGA